This 230-nucleotide ribosomal RNA is filed under the name uncultured Alicycliphilus sp. Its description in RNAcentral is "partial 16S ribosomal RNA". It matches the Rfam family "Bacterial small subunit ribosomal RNA", at positions 550 to 774 of the family's 1533-position model. The record is from RNAcentral. Lineage: Bacteria; Pseudomonadati; Pseudomonadota; Betaproteobacteria; Burkholderiales; Comamonadaceae.
AGCUGAUCAUUGGGUGUAAAGAGUGCGCAGGCGGUUUUGUAAGACAGAGGUGAAAUCCCCGGGCUCAACCUGGGAACUGCCUUUGUGACUGCAAGGCUGGAGUGCGGCAGAGGGGGAUGGAAUUCCGCGUGUAGCAGUGAAAUGCGUGGAUAUGCGGAGGAACACCGAUGGCGAAGGCAAUCCCCUGGGCCUGCACUGACGCUCAUGCACGAAAGCGUGGGGAGCAAACA